AACGAACGCUGGCGGCAUGCCUAACACAUGCAAGUCGAACGAGACCUUCGGGUCUAGUGGCGCACGGGUGCGUAACGCGUGGGAACCUGCCCUUAGGUUCGGAAUAACUCCCCGAAAGGGGUGCUAAUACCGGAUAAUGUCUUCGGACCAAAGAUUUAUCGCCUUUGGAUGGGCCCGCGUUGGAUUAGCUAGUUGUUAGGGUAAAAGCUUACCAAGGCGACGAUCCAUAGCUGGUCUGAGAGGAUGAUCAGCCACACUGGGACUGAGACACGGCCCAGACUCCUACGGGAGGCAGCAGUGGGGAAUAUUGGACAAUGGGCGAAAGCCUGAUCCAGCAAUGCCGCGUGAGUUAUGAAGGCCUUAGGGUUGUAAAGCUCUUUUACCCGGGAUGAUAAUGACAGUACCGGGAGAAUAAGCUCCGGCUAACUCCGUG
Molecule: ribosomal RNA, 433 nt
Filed under: uncultured bacterium
Lineage: Bacteria
Description: partial 16S ribosomal RNA
Rfam family: Bacterial small subunit ribosomal RNA
Source: RNAcentral